This 253-nucleotide ribosomal RNA is filed under the name uncultured bacterium. Its description in RNAcentral is "partial 16S ribosomal RNA". It matches the Rfam family "Bacterial small subunit ribosomal RNA", at positions 524 to 776 of the family's 1533-position model. The record is from RNAcentral.
UACGGGGGGGGCAAGCGUUGUUCGGAAUUACUGGGCGUAAAGGGCUCGUAGGUGGCCAACUAAGUCAGACGUGAAAUCCCUCGGCUUAACCGGGGAACUGCGUCUGAUACUGGAUGGCUUGAGUGUGGGAGAGGGAUGCGGAAUUCCAGGUGUAGCGGUGAAAUGCGUAGAUAUCUGGAGGAACACCGGUGGCGAAGGCGGCAUCCUGGACCGACACUGACGCUGAUGAGCGAAAGCCAGGGGAGCAAACGGG